Molecule: ribosomal RNA, 273 nt
Filed under: Triticum aestivum (bread wheat)
Lineage: Eukaryota; Viridiplantae; Streptophyta; Magnoliopsida; Poales; Poaceae
Description: partial small subunit ribosomal RNA
Source: RNAcentral
AUGGAGGAUACAAGGAAGCAUCUCUCCUAUCCUUUGGUAUAUCGGCUUUUGAAGCUAGCACUGACUCUCCAAGUUGCCACUGGCAAUGUUGGGACAUGUUUUCCAGCUAUGAAUAUUGUGAAGAAUGCUUUGCGUGACAAAAUUGGUGAUGAUUAUUUAAGUCAUAGCCUAAUUUGCUUCUUGGGCUUUUGCUCAAAAGCAACAAUAGUUCUACAUAUACAUGACACCACUCUUAUUCUCAUCCAUCACAUUGCACAGAGAAAUGACGACUAA